This 431-nucleotide ribosomal RNA is filed under the name uncultured bacterium. Its description in RNAcentral is "bacterial SSU rRNA". It matches the Rfam family "Bacterial small subunit ribosomal RNA", at positions 343 to 791 of the family's 1533-position model. The record is from RNAcentral.
AGGAGGCAGCAGUGGGGAAUCUUGCGCAAUGGGCGAAAGCCUGACGCAGCCAUGCCGCGUGAAUGAUGAAGGUCUUAGGAUUGUAAAAUUCUUUCACCGGGGAAGAUAAUGACGGUACCCGGAGAAGAAGCCCCGGCUAACUUCGUGCCAGCAGCCGCGGUAAUACGAAGGGGGCUAGCGUUGCUCGGAUUUACUGGGCGUAAAGGGCGCGUAGGCGGACAGUUUAGUCAGAGGUGAAAGCCCGGGGCUCAACCCCGGAAUUGCCUUUGAUACUGGCUGUCUUGAGUUUGGGAGAGGUAUGCGGAACUCCGAGUGUAGAGGUGAAAUUCGUAGAUAUUCGGAAGAACACCAGUGGCGAAGGCGGCAUACUGGCCCAAUACUGACGCUGAGGCGCGAAAGCGUGGGGAGCAAACAGGAUUAGAUACCCGCGU